CCGUUCAGGGGUAAACCUAAGAAACCCAAAAGAACGAACGGGGAGAUUCAUCGUCAGCGACGCUGGCUUCGCGUCGGUGCGCGAUGCUACGCGGGGCCCUUGCGGCUCGCGCGUGGUACGCCGCCGUGCGCCGAUGUCCGGCGUUCGUAGUCGUGCACUUCUCCCCUAGUAGAACGUCGCGACCCGCUGGGUGUCGGUCUACGGCCCGGGUGCGGAGACUGACGCGUCGCCGGUAAAACGGCACGCGUCGACCCCCCGGUCGCCCGGCCGACUGCCCGGCGGUACGCGCAAGGUAUCAGGCCGCACGAGCGAUAUCUUACGAAAGUGAGAGUGGAACGAGUGCGUCGAGACCGUCGCAAGCGCGCGCCACGGAACACGGAUGUAACGGACCUAGCGCCGUCGCCGUGCCUGGCCCGCUGUUGGUCGUACGGUUAACCUUCGACAGGCCUGCCAACGUCCCAAUGGGGGCCUCGUGCUCUCGGCGGGACCGAUACCGGUCGGCGACGCUACUGCUUUGGGUACUCUUAGGACCCGUCUUGAAACAACGGNACCAAGGAA
Molecule: ribosomal RNA, 558 nt
Filed under: Pogonomyrmex sp. JL23
Lineage: Eukaryota; Metazoa; Arthropoda; Insecta; Hymenoptera; Formicidae
Description: LSU rRNA
Source: RNAcentral